Molecule: ribosomal RNA, 253 nt
Filed under: uncultured bacterium
Lineage: Bacteria
Description: partial 16S ribosomal RNA
Rfam family: Bacterial small subunit ribosomal RNA
Source: RNAcentral
UACGUAGGGUGCAAGCGUUAAUCGGAAUUACUGGGCGUAAAGCGUGCGCAGGCGGUUUUGUAAGUCUGUCGUGAAAUCCCCGGGCUCAACCUGGGAAUGGCGAUGGAGACUGCAAGGCUAGAGUUUGGCAGAGGGGGGUAGAAUUCCACGUGUAGCAGUGAAAUGCGUAGAUAUGUGGAGGAACACCGAUGGCGAAGGCAGCCCCCUGGGUCAAAACUGACGCUCAUGCACGAAAGCGUGGGGAGCAAACAGG